GCCCUCGUAGUUUAAUGGAUAAAACGAGGCCCUUCUAAGGCUUAGAUCGAGGUUCGAUUCCUCGCGAGGGCA
Molecule: transfer RNA, 72 nt
Filed under: bacterium
Lineage: Bacteria
Description: tRNA-Arg
Rfam family: tRNA
About the family: Transfer RNA (tRNA) molecules are approximately 80 nucleotides in length. Their secondary structure includes four short double-helical elements and three loops (D, anti-codon, and T loops). Further hydrogen bonds mediate the characteristic L-shaped molecular structure. tRNAs have two regions of fundamental functional importance: the anti-codon, which is responsible for specific mRNA codon recognition, and the 3' end, to which the tRNAs corresponding amino acid is attached (by aminoacyl-tRNA synthetases). tRNAs cope with the degeneracy of the genetic code in two manners: having more than one tRNA (with a specific anti-codon) for a particular amino acid; and 'wobble' base-pairing, i.e. permitting non-standard base-pairing at the 3rd anti-codon position.
Source: RNAcentral